This 77-nucleotide transfer RNA is filed under the name Micrococcaceae bacterium. Its description in RNAcentral is "tRNA-Leu". It matches the Rfam family "tRNA". From Rfam's summary of the family: Transfer RNA (tRNA) molecules are approximately 80 nucleotides in length. Their secondary structure includes four short double-helical elements and three loops (D, anti-codon, and T loops). Lineage: Bacteria; Bacillati; Actinomycetota; Actinomycetes; Micrococcales; Micrococcaceae. The record is from RNAcentral. RNAcentral also lists the same sequence under 2 other names.
GCCCCAGUAGCCCAAUCGGCAGAGGCAGCAGACUUAAAAUCUGCCAAGUGAGAGUUCGAGUCUCUCCUGGGGCACCA